GCAGUCGAGAAAUUCUUCCGGCAAUGAGCGAAAGCUGACGGAGGGGACGCCGCGUGGUGAUGAAGUCUCGGGACGUAAAAACUUUUAUGUGGGAGAAAGUCAUUGAUAGUACCACAUGAAUAAGGGGUUGCUAAACUCGUGCCAGCAGCAGCGGUAAUACGAGUGCCCCAAGCGUUAUCCGGGAAUUAUUGGGCGUAAAGGGUGUGUAGGUGGCUCUGUUAGUCUUCUGUUAAAGCUCCCGGCUUAACCGGGAAAGUGCAGAGGAAACGGCAGAACUAGAGGAUGUGAGAGGUUUGCGGAACUCAUGGUGUAGGGGUGAAAUCCGUUGAUAUCAUGGGGAACACCAAAAGCGAAGGCAGCAAACUGGCGCAUUCCUGACACUGAAACACGAAAGCGUGGGGAGUGAAGAGGAUUAGAUACCCUCGUAAUCCACGCCCUAAACGAUCUUCUCUGGCUAUUUGGAGUAUCGACCCUCUAAGUGGCGAAGCUAACGCGUUAAGAGAAGCGCCUGGGUAGUACGACCGCAAGGUUAAAACUCAAAGGAAUAGACGGGGACUUGCACAAGCAGUGGAUUAUGUGACUUAAUUCGAUGAUAAACGAAGAACCUUACCAGGGUUUGAAACCUAUUUGAAAGCCUUAGGAAACUUUGGCCCUCGCAAGACAAAUAGGCAGGUGAUGCAUGGCCGUCGUCAGUUCGUGGUUUGAAUUGUUCCCUUAAGUGGGGUAACGAACGCAACCCUCGUUGGCUGUUACAAGUGUCAGCCGAGACUGCCCACG
RNAcentral lists this ribosomal RNA (777 nucleotides) under uncultured bacterium. RNAcentral's name for it is "bacterial SSU rRNA". It matches the Rfam family "Bacterial small subunit ribosomal RNA", at positions 351 to 1157 of the family's 1533-position model. The record is from RNAcentral.